AUUGAACGCUGGCGGCAGGCCUAACACAUGCAAGUCGAGCGCGGAAGUUCUUCGGAAUGAGUAGAGCGGCGGACGGGUGAGUAACGCGUGGGAAUCUGCCCAGUAGUGGGGGAUAACGUUCCGAAAGGAGCGCUAAUACCGCAUACGCCCUACGGGGGAAAGGGGGGAUCUUCGGACCUCUCGCUAUUGGAUGAGCCCGCGUCGGAUUAGCUAGUUGGUAGGGUAAUGGCCUACCAAGGCGACGAUCCGUAACUGGUCUGAGAGGAUGAUCAGUCACACUGGAACUGAGACACGGUCCAGACUCCUACGGGAGGCAGCAGUGGGGAAUAUUGGACAAUGGGGGAAACCCUGAUCCAGCCAUGCCGCGUGUGUGAAGAAGGCCUUAGGGUUGUAAAGCACUUUCAGUGGGGAGAAAGGCUUGUUGAUUAAUACUCGACGAGAUUGAUGUUACCCACAGAAGAAGCACCGGCUAACUCCGUGCCAGCAGCCGCGGUAAUACGGAGGGUGACG
This 510-nucleotide ribosomal RNA is filed under the name uncultured bacterium. RNAcentral describes it as "bacterial SSU rRNA". It matches the Rfam family "Bacterial small subunit ribosomal RNA", at positions 30 to 536 of the family's 1533-position model. The record is from RNAcentral.